GACGAACGCUGGCGGCGUGCCUAAUACAUGCAAGUUGAGCGCUGAAGGUUGGUACUUGUACCAACUGGAUGAGCAGCGAACGGGUGAGUAACGCGUGGGUAAUCUGCCUUUGAGCGGGGGACAACAUUUGGAAACGAAUGCUAAUACCGCAUAAAAACUUUAAACACAAGUUUUAAGUUUGAAAGAUGCAAUUGCAUCACUCAAAGAUGAUCCCGCGUUGUAUUAGCUAGUUGGUGAGGUAAAGGCUCACCAGGGCGAUGAUACAUAGCCGACCUGAGAGGGUGAUCGGCCACAUUGGGACUGGGAAACGGCCCAAACCUCUAAGGGAGGCAGCAGUAGGGAAUCUUUGGCAAUGGACGAAAGGCUGACCGGGGAACGCCGCGGGAGUGAAGAAGGGUUUCGGAUCGUAAAACUCUGUUGGUAGGGAAGAAAGUUGGUGAGAGUGGAAAGCGCAUCAAGUGACGGUAACUAACCAGAAAGGGACGGCUAACUACGUG
This 497-nucleotide ribosomal RNA is filed under the name uncultured bacterium. RNAcentral's name for it is "partial 16S ribosomal RNA". It matches the Rfam family "Bacterial small subunit ribosomal RNA", at positions 28 to 507 of the family's 1533-position model. The record is from RNAcentral.